This 498-nucleotide ribosomal RNA is filed under the name Triticum aestivum (bread wheat). Its description in RNAcentral is "partial small subunit ribosomal RNA". Lineage: Eukaryota; Viridiplantae; Streptophyta; Magnoliopsida; Poales; Poaceae. The record is from RNAcentral.
AUGGCUGAAGACGGCCUCCAACCGCCAGGCCAAAAGCAGCCACCCUUUGUUCGCAUGCGCGUCUCCUUCCUGUGUCACCUAGUAUGUAAACAUACACACAGGAUCUUUAUAAGAGCAAAAGCUACAAAAUGGAAAUCUUCCUACUUCUCCAUGACGACAUGGAUGACAUCGCCAUGCGUGCACGCUCCAACCUCUCCCCUAUCGCAGCCCCACCACUCGUUGCCGAUGCACUCCAACCCGAGGACCUCCAUGAUGGAGGUCGCCUCUCAGCCUAGCGACGAGUGUUUGUUGGUUUCUCUUUCAUUUACGGACAUCUUGGGCUUGUUGGGUACAGAAUCAAGAAGCCCAAUCAUCAUCAGGGAUGAAAAAAGGAGAGAAGCACGGGAAGAGGUACUAGUAGAAGAGGAAGAAAUGCACCAUAAUGGAUCUAGGAAGUAUGAAUGGUUAAUACCUCAAUGGUGCACUGUGCAUCUUUGGCAGGUUUUUAUGCAUUUUUAA